This 1037-nucleotide long non-coding RNA is filed under the name Numida meleagris (helmeted guineafowl). RNAcentral's name for it is "lncRNA (ENSNMEG00000015127.1)". The record is from RNAcentral. Lineage: Eukaryota; Metazoa; Chordata; Aves; Galliformes; Numididae.
GUGUGUGCCCCCCCCGGGCACUGAGCGCCGCCCAUGGGACAAUGGUGGCCCACGCACCCACGUGUGGCACCGAGCUGUGGCGCUGACACGGCGGCGAUGACAAUGCUACGCUGAGGGUGACAGCGCUGUGCUGGGGGUGACAACACUACGUCGGGGGUGACAACGCCGUGUUGGUUGUGACAACACUACGUCGCGUGUGACAACACUACAUCGGCUGUGACAACGCUACGUCAGCUGUGACAACACCGUGUCGGGUGUGACAACACUACACCGGGUGUGACAACGCUACAUGGGAUGGAACAACGCUACAUUGGGUGUGACAACACGACAUCGGGUGUCACACUGCCACGUCGGGUGUCACAACACUGCGUCGCGUGUGACAAUGCUAUGUCAGGUGUCACAACACCGUGCCGGGUGUGACGACACUACCUCGGGUGUGACAAUGCUACAUGGGGUGUGACAGCGCUGCGCCGCGUGUGACAACACUGCUGGGUGUAACAACACCGCGUUGGGGGUCACAACGCUACGUGGGGUGUACAAGCACUAUGUGGAGUGUGACAACACCGUGUUGGGUGGAACAGUGCUGCACUGGGUGUGAUAAUGUUAUGUUGGGGGUGACAGCAGUACACUGGGUGUGACAACGCUGUGUUGGGUGUGACAACACUAUAUUGGGUGUGACAGUGCUACACUGAGUGUAAUGACACUGUGUUAGGUGUGACAGCAACACUGUGUCGGGUGUGACAACACUGCACUGGGUGUAGCAGUGCUACGCUGGGUGUGACAGCACCGUGCUGAGUGUAACAACACCACAUUGGGUGUGACAGCAACGCUGUGUCAGGUGUAACAACACCACAUUGGCUGUAACAACACUACACUGGGUGUAAUAAUGCUAUGCUGGGUGUAACGAUGCUGCCUCGGGUGUGAUAACACUGCGCUGGGUGUAAUGACAAUGCUGCAUCGGGUGUAACAAUGCUACGUUGGCUGUAAUGAUGCUAUGUUGGGGGUGACAACACUACAUUGGGGGUGACAGCGCUGUG